RNAcentral lists this long non-coding RNA (342 nucleotides) under Physcomitrium patens. RNAcentral describes it as "long non-coding RNA (PPAT_LNC000296)". The record is from RNAcentral. Lineage: Eukaryota; Viridiplantae; Streptophyta; Bryopsida; Funariales; Funariaceae.
CAUGCUUCGGGCGGGGAAAAAAAGACAGAGAAUUGGGUUUUUUUUCUUCAUAGGAUUUUGGGAAGACUGAGGCAAUCGUUGCUGAAGUCAGUGUUGUAAUGGUGAAUCGGGAUUUUUAAUGAAGUGGAUUUGAAUACUCUUGACUGUUUUGUGAAAUCGAGUUACGUCUGUGAUUGAAGAAUUAAAAGGGUGUCUAUAGGAUUGAGUAUGUGGAGUGAAUGAAAUUUAUUGGAUUAAUCUAACAAGAUAGUUAGUGGAUACAAGAUCGUAAGUACAAAGCGGUAUCGAAGAUUAACAGUUUGGGUUGUUCGGGGUUCUCUGUAACGUCUAGAGACCUACCGA